CAUUUGAAGACUAGACUUCACCCUGAGAGUCAGAAGGGAGGAGCCAGAGAUGGGGACAGUCACAAUUUUCUCCCCAGAGGGGUUAAGAAGCCCCCACACUUUGAAAUUCAGUCAGCUGUUUGAGCAUGGAAAUACUGGCUAGAGCUCUAGUAGCCCUCCCCCACCUUUUUUUUUUUUUAACCCACCAGCAUCAGAGCCAGCGGGGGUCUAAGUACACGAACCUCUAGUGCUUUCCUUGUCGUAUUUUCAUCUUUUCUUCCUUCUCUUCCCCAACAGAAGCUAUCACAGCAGUCCUGGGGCUGCCUCUCCAAGGGCUCCUCUCUGUGGACCAACUGCAGCAAGCGGCCACUAGGCGGCCACCAGUGGUUGGAGUCAAGCCUGGGCAUCAAGAGACGGCAGGGCUUCCCAGCACCAAGGCCACAGGCUCGCACAUAAUUACGUGCACAGAGGACGCCUCUCCCGCGCCCCACUCCCUCCACCCCUGAACGGAGCAACUCAUAUGGAUUCCCAAAUGAGCACGGGAAGCUGCGUUUGCAAAGCCUGAUGUCUCUUGAGUGGUCUGCCCUUCUCCGUUUGCUUGCUGCUCACAGCACAGCCCUGCAUGUCUCUCAUCUGAACGGCGCUCACAGCCUCCAUUGACCUCUCUGCCUCGGUCCUGCCUGUCCCAUUCAUCAUCUGCUAUGGCCCCUCCCAGCACAUUCCCAGCCCCAUCGCCCUCCGUGCAGAACCCUUGGCAUCCCUGAGCUCACCAUCACUUCAGGUGGUAAGCCUUUGACAUGCUAUUCCUUCUGUUUGAAAGAUCCUACCCCUUGAUGUACUCCUGGUUCAGAUGUGGUUCCAAUCAGGCUCGCCUGAAACUGGUUAAAGCAAGAAGGUGGGGAAACAGCCCAGUGUUAAAGCACAGGACUUGCGUACCUGAGACCCCAGAGGCUCCAAGUUCAAUGCCUGGUACUGCUAUAUGCCAGAGCUGAGCAGGGCUCUGGUCUCUGUCUCUCUCACAAACACACAAGUAACUAAAUAAUUUGUUUAAAAAAGAGAAACUAAUAGCCUUAACAAGAUAGAAUUUCAUGUCUCAUGCAAACAUUAACAGAAGAGGACUCCUUCAAUGAUAACUGUACUGUCAUCCUCAACAAGAGGUCCAAGUUCAAGCUCCAGCACUCAAAUCCACCUCCCAGACAGAAAAAAGGGAAAGAACAAAUUCUUUGUCAUUAAAGACACCCCCGGGGGCCCAGGAAGUGGCACAGCCGUAGAGCACAGAACUUGUAAGCAAGGGUCUUGAGUUCAAUCUCCAGCAUCACAUAUGCCAGAGUGAUGCUCUGGUUCUCUCUCCCUUGUUAAUAAGUAAAUAAGCCCUUAAAAUAAAUAAAAAGACCCACACCAGAAA
Molecule: long non-coding RNA, 1384 nt
Organism: Erinaceus europaeus (western European hedgehog)
Lineage: Eukaryota; Metazoa; Chordata; Mammalia; Eulipotyphla; Erinaceidae
Exons: 2
Source: RefSeq, a predicted model, not a curated record